GGCGAGUGGCGAACGGGUGAGUAAUAUAUCGGAACGUACCCUGGAGUGGGGGAUAACGUAGCGAAAGUUACGCUAAUACCGCAUACGAUCUAAGGAUGAAAGUGGGGGCUUCGCAAGAACCUCAUGCUCCUGGAGCGGCCGAUAUCUGAUUAGCUAGUUGGUAGGGUAAAAGCCUACCAAGGCUUCGAUCAGUAGCUGGUCUGAGAGGACGACCAGCCACACUGGAACUGAGACACGGUCCAGACUCCUACGGGAGGCAGCAGUGGGGAAUUUUGGACAAUGGGCGCAAGCCUGAUCCAGCAAUGCCGCGUGAGUGAAGAAGGCCUUCGGGUUGUAAAGCUCUUUUGUCAGGGAAGAAACGGUGAGGGCUAAUAUCCCUUGCUAAUGACGGUACCUGAAGAAUAAGCACCGGCUAACUACGUGCCAGCAGCCGCGGUAAUACGUAGGGUGCAAGCGUUAAUCGGAAUUACUGGGCGUAAAGCGUGCGCAGGCGGUUUUGUAAGUUUGUCGUG
Molecule: ribosomal RNA, 512 nt
Filed under: uncultured Massilia sp.
Lineage: Bacteria; Pseudomonadati; Pseudomonadota; Betaproteobacteria; Burkholderiales; Oxalobacteraceae
Description: bacterial SSU rRNA
Rfam family: Bacterial small subunit ribosomal RNA
Source: RNAcentral